GAGCAAUAUAUAUAUUUAAUAGAACUAGGUUGUUGUCUCGUUAUUCCAGCAGCUCCUUCACAGUGACUCGGUGCCAUGACGCUGAGCUAACUUGGAGGCCACCAUGGACGUCUUUUCCCUGGGCCCGGUGACUGCAUGGUGCCUACUCAAUCAGUGAAAGAGUCACAGAACCCUUGCGCUUGGAAAAGGGCCUUCAGCUCAAGUCCAAGCGUCAGCUAACACCACCAGGCCCACCACAAAACCACGGCCCUUAGCGCCAAGUCCACGCAUUUCUUUAAUAGCUCCAGGCCUGGGACUCCAGCAGUGCCCUGGGCAGCCGGUUCCACCCUUUGCAUGAAGAAAUUCUUCCUGACAUCCCAUCCUGUGAGUCCACCUGUGGUAGGUGCGCCCAGGUAGAAGAACUGCUCAGCCUCCUGGCAGAGCUUCGGGAGGAGGUGGGCAGGCUGAGGAGCACCAGGGAGUCGGAGAAGGUUGAACUGUACUGUGCCAGCCCUGGGACAGAUGCGUCAGGCAGACACAGCAGAGGAAAUGGAGGAUCCCCUACCCUCUGGCCAUCAGGCAGAAGGAGUGCAUCUCAGUGACGAAGGGAUGGAAGUUUAGAUCUGCUCGGGGCAGCAGGCGGACCCCUCCUUGCCUACCUCACCUUCCUUUCAGGUGCCCUGAAACAACAGACUCUGGAAGUAAUGGACACACAAACGAUGAUGUGCAUGAAGGUCCAUCCAGGUUGGAGGGGUUUUCUAGGGCAAGUCAGCCUUCCCCAGUAUCACGACCACCUCCAUCAAGAAGAAGAGAAGGGUUACUGUCAUAAGUGACUCCCUUCUGAGCAGAACAGAGGGCCGCAUAUGCCGGCCUGACCCAACCCAUGGAGAAGUCUGCUGUCUCCCAGGAGAUCAGGGUAAAAGGUGUUUCUGGAGAGCUCACUCGCCCCGUAAGGCCCUCUGAGCAUCAUCCAUUAUUGUUCUGUCCCCGGGGUUUUUCGGGGCCCGGUGGCAGUGCCGUCCCCUCUGUGUCCCCCUUCGCGCAGGUGACACCUCGGUGCUGGCCGGGCUGUACGGCCCCGCGGAGGUGCGGGGCUCAAAGGAGAGCCCCGAGAGGGCGACGCUGGAGGUGCUGCUGCGCCCCAAGUUGUGGCUGCCAGAGAAUAUUGUGAAAGCAUUCUCUUCUGGUUCAAUUGGCCUUGGCCAAAUCUGAAAACAAGACACGGAUUAAUGAUACUCAAAAGAAGAUGAGGGAUUGUGAUAUAUGGAGUGGUAAUUCGUGUGGAGAAAAUGGUUGAUAUUAAUAAAGAAGGGGGAGAUUUGGGAGUGUGGCCAUGGGGCUUGGAAAGCCCUGUGGUUGAGAUAAAAUUAGACCCUUAACGAGGAGGCCAUCAGGAAUGUAAAAGAGUUUAGAGGGAACCAAGAAGGGUGAUUCAGGAGACUCCAUGCAGUCG
This 1432-nucleotide long non-coding RNA is filed under the name Anas platyrhynchos (mallard). RNAcentral describes it as "lncRNA (ENSAPLG00020003062.1)". The record is from RNAcentral. Lineage: Eukaryota; Metazoa; Chordata; Aves; Anseriformes; Anatidae.